RNAcentral lists this ribosomal RNA (66 nucleotides) under uncultured bacterium. Its description in RNAcentral is "partial 16S ribosomal RNA". The record is from RNAcentral.
UGGUCUUGACAUCCCGAGAAUAUCCGUGAAAGCGGAAGGUGCUUCCAUUAGGAAGAGCUUGGAGAC